This is a transfer RNA of 87 nucleotides. It matches the Rfam family "tRNA". Rfam says of the family: Transfer RNA (tRNA) molecules are approximately 80 nucleotides in length. Their secondary structure includes four short double-helical elements and three loops (D, anti-codon, and T loops). Further hydrogen bonds mediate the characteristic L-shaped molecular structure. tRNAs have two regions of fundamental functional importance: the anti-codon, which is responsible for specific mRNA codon recognition, and the 3' end, to which the tRNAs corresponding amino acid is attached (by aminoacyl-tRNA synthetases). tRNAs cope with the degeneracy of the genetic code in two manners: having more than one tRNA (with a specific anti-codon) for a particular amino acid; and 'wobble' base-pairing, i.e. permitting non-standard base-pairing at the 3rd anti-codon position. The record is from Rfam.
UCCUCCGUGGCGCAAUUGGCUAGCGCGUCUGACUGUUAUCCUUGCGAGCUUAUCAGGAGGUUGAAAGUUCGAGCCUUUCCGGGGGAG